Molecule: ribosomal RNA, 440 nt
Filed under: uncultured bacterium
Lineage: Bacteria
Description: bacterial SSU rRNA
Rfam family: Bacterial small subunit ribosomal RNA
Source: RNAcentral
CCUACGGGAGGCAGCAGUGAGGAAUAUUGGACAAUGGAGGGAACUCUGAUCCAGCCAUGCCGCGUGCAGGAAGACUGCCCUAUGGGUUGUAAACUGCUUUUAUACAGGAAGAAACACCUCUACGUGUAGAGGCUUGACGGUACUGUAAGAAUAAGGAUCGGCUAACUCCGUGCCAGCAGCCGCGGUAAUACGGAGGAUCCAAGCGUUAUCCGGAAUCAUUGGGUUUAAAGGGUCCGUAGGUGGACUGAUAAGUCAGAGGUGAAAUCCUGCAGCUUAACUGUAGAACUGCCUUUGAUACUGUUAGUCUUGAAUCAUUAUGAAGUGGUUAGAAUAUGUAGUGUAGCGGUGAAAUGCAUAGAUAUUACAUAGAAUACCAAUUGCGAAGGCAGAUCACUAAUAAUGUAUUGACACUGAUGGACGAAAGCGUAGGUAGCGAACGG